This 250-nucleotide unclassified non-coding RNA is filed under the name uncultured fungus. RNAcentral describes it as "partial contains 5.8S ribosomal RNA, internal transcribed spacer 2, and large subunit ribosomal RNA". Lineage: Eukaryota; Fungi. The record is from RNAcentral.
AACGCACAUUGCGCCCCUUGGUAUUCCAUUGGGCAUGCCUGUUCGAGCGUCAUUUACACCUUCAAGCUCCGCUUGGUGUUGGGCGUCUGUCCCCGCUACGUGCGCGGGACUCGCCCCAAAAGCAUUGGCAGCGGCUUCGCCGGCUUCUUGCGCAGCACUUUGCGCUUCAUGAGGCUCCCGGCGGGCUCGCAUCCAUCAAGGAACCCCCCAGUUUGACCUCGAAUCAGGUAGGGAUACCCGCUGAACUUAA